UGGGGAAUAUUGCACAAUGGGCGGAAGCCUGAUGCAGCAACGCCGCGUGCGGGAUGACGGCCUUCGGGUUGUAAACCGCUUUCGCCUGUGACGAAGCUUGAGUGACGGUAAUGGGUAAAGAAGCACCGGCUAACUACGUGCCAGCAGCCGCGGUGAUACGUAGGGUGCGAGCGUUGUCCGGAUUUAUUGGGCGUAAAGGGCUCGUAGGUGGUUGAUCGCGUCGGAAGUGUAAUCUUGGGGCUUAACCCUGAGCGUGCUUUCGAUACGGGUUGACUUGAGGAAGGUAGGGGAGAAUGGAAUUCCUGGUGGAGCGGUGGAAUGCGCAGAUAUCAGGAGGAACACCAGUGGCGAAGGCGGUUCUCUGGGCCUUUCCUGACGCUGAGGAGCGAAAGCGUGGGGAGCGAACA
Molecule: ribosomal RNA, 407 nt
Filed under: uncultured bacterium
Lineage: Bacteria
Description: partial 16S ribosomal RNA
Rfam family: Bacterial small subunit ribosomal RNA
Source: RNAcentral